AAUACGUGAGUUAAUUUGUAAAAUUCAUGAAUAAAAGUUUUAUUUUUGUUUUAAAAGUUGGAUUAAAUUUUAUAUUUAUAUGUAAAUUUUUGUGUAAUUAAUAUAAAUUAUUUUAAUAAUAAUUUAAUUAUUUUUUCAGAUCGCAGUAAAUUGGAUUAUAAAUUAAUGAAAAUUAGAUUUAGGGAAAAUUUUUAGUAUUAACAAAAUUUGUGCCAGCAGUUGCGGUUACACAAAUAAUACAAUUUAAUUUUUUUUAGUAUUAAUAUAUUUAUAAUAAAAAUUUUAAUAAAAAAUUUAUUAGGUGAAAUUUUAAAUUUUUUAAAAAAUUAAAAAUUAAUAAUUAAUUAAUAAAUUUGUAAAUAAACUAGGAUUAGAUACCCUAUUAUUUUAAAUGUAAAUUUUUAUCUAGAUUAGUAUUUGUUAUGUUCAUGAAAAUUAAAAAAUUUGGCGGUUUUUUAGUCUAUUCAGAGGAACCUGUCCUAUAAAUGAUGAUCCACGAUUUACUUAACCUUUAUUAAUAGUUUGUAUAUCGUCGUAGUUUGAAUAUUUUAGGAGAAAUUUAAUAUUCAAAAUUUUAUUUAUAAAAAUAAAUCAGAUCAAGGUAUAGUUUAUAUAAAGGUAGAGAUGGGUUACAUUAAUAUGAAUUUAGGAUUUUUAAUUGAAAAUUAAAAAGAAUAAGGAUUUGAAAGUAAUUUUAUUUAAAUUUUUAAAAUGAUUUUAGCUCUAAAAAAUGUACAUAUCGCCCGUCGCUUUCAUUUUAAAGUGAAAUAAGUCGUAACAAAGUAGGCUUACUGGAAAGUGAGCCUAGAA
This 810-nucleotide non-coding RNA is filed under the name Monochamus sparsutus. The record is from RNAcentral. Lineage: Eukaryota; Metazoa; Arthropoda; Insecta; Coleoptera; Cerambycidae.